UAAUCAACAAUUCAAGCACAAGAAAAUAGCAUCACAGCAAGAGCACGAAUUUAACAACAAUUGUUCAUCAACCCAUUUUCAUACAACAUGAGAAAAUGCAAAGAUUGUACAUGAUUAUGAUAAUAACUAACCCCCUUACCUUUGAAGUUGAUUAUCCUUAAUCCUAGCUUCACUUCAGCUCCUAGGUCACCCACUUGAUUGUUAACUUCAGCUCCUAGGUCACCCACUUGAUUCCUCAAGCUUCCCCUCCAACACUCUUGUUCUUCUCUUCACUCUUUCUCUCUCUACCUCUCCUUCUCUCU
Molecule: long non-coding RNA, 302 nt
Filed under: Medicago truncatula (barrel medic)
Lineage: Eukaryota; Viridiplantae; Streptophyta; Magnoliopsida; Fabales; Fabaceae
Description: long non-coding RNA (MTRU_LNC007210)
Source: RNAcentral